AGCCCUUACAUGACCAUGUCCCCCUUUUUUAACCACCAAACCCUAACUUCUUUUUACCUUCAUCUUCCCUAAAAUUUUAGCCACAAGCCCUAGCCGCCGCUCACCCACAAAUUCAUCACCAUCGCCACUAUUUGACUCUCCACCGUUAAGUCUAUCCUCUUCCCCUGCACGAGUGUUUUCCCCUCCCACCCUCGACCCUUCAUCAUCAUCCUAGCCUUCGAGUCACCUACGCUAUCCCCUCUCCCUUUUCUCCCUCGCGCCGACCCAUCCCCGCCCCCUAGCCCUCCACCAUUGUCAUUCCCCUUCUCUUUUCCCUUCUAUUUCCCCCGUUUCCUUUCCCAUCCUAGAACAGUCCCCUCUCCUCUUCUUUUUCUCCCCAUCACCAGCACCUCUCCCUUGUUCAUGUACCCACGCACAUAACCUCCCCGGCCCACCACAACUCCACCGUCGUUUCCCUGUCCCCACCACCACCAUUUACUCCAGUCACCACCCACCACUGUUUACC
RNAcentral lists this long non-coding RNA (505 nucleotides) under Gossypium raimondii (Peruvian cotton). RNAcentral describes it as "long non-coding RNA (GRAI_LNC007447)". The record is from RNAcentral. Lineage: Eukaryota; Viridiplantae; Streptophyta; Magnoliopsida; Malvales; Malvaceae.